GCCUGGGUAGCUCAGUGGUAGAGCAGAGGCCUGAAAAGCCUUGUGUCGGCAGUUCAAUCCUGCCCCCAGGCACCA
RNAcentral lists this transfer RNA (75 nucleotides) under Patescibacteria group bacterium. Its description in RNAcentral is "tRNA-Phe". It matches the Rfam family "tRNA". Rfam says of the family: Transfer RNA (tRNA) molecules are approximately 80 nucleotides in length. Their secondary structure includes four short double-helical elements and three loops (D, anti-codon, and T loops). The record is from RNAcentral.